Molecule: ribosomal RNA, 503 nt
Filed under: uncultured bacterium
Lineage: Bacteria
Description: partial 16S ribosomal RNA
Rfam family: Bacterial small subunit ribosomal RNA
Source: RNAcentral
AUUGAACGCUGGCGGCAGGCUUAACACAUGCAAGUCGAGCGGGGUGAUGGUGCUUGCACUAUCACUUAGCGGCGGACGGGUGAGUAAUGCUUAGGAAUCUGCCUAUUAGUGGGGGACAACAUCUCGAAAGGGAUGCUAAUACCGCAUACGUCCUACGGGAGAAAGCAGGGGAUCACUUGUGACCUUGCGCUAAUAGAUGAGCCUAAGUCGGAUUAGCUAGUUGGUGGGGUAAAGGCCUACCAAGGCGACGAUCUGUAACGGGUCCGAGAGGAUGAUCCGCCACACUGGGACUGAGACACGGCCCAGACUCCUACGGGAGGCAGCAGUGGGGAAUAUUGGACAAUGGGGGGAACCCUAAUCCAGCCAUGCCGCGUGUGUGAAGAAGGCCCUAUGGUUGUAAAGCACUUUAAGCGAGGAGGAGGCUCUUUUGGUUAAUACCCAAGAUGAGUGGACGUUACUCGCAGAAUAAGCACCGGCUAACUCUGUGCCAGCCGCCGCGGUAA